UGAUGACUUUGAAUUCUUUUGUUUAUUCGCUGACCCUCCACACUUGUUAGCAGAUGCUAUAAUUGAGUCCCGAUUAGACAAAAUGGUAUUCAGUGAGUGUUACUGGCAUUCCCAAUCGUGUUGCCAUUUCAACUCUACUAAUAUUUGGAUUUCUUUCCACCUCGUAUAUAAUGUCCACCUUUUCGGUGAGGCUUCAUACAUUGUUUUGUGCCCAUUACAUCAGAUUUUGGCAUUCACUUCUUUUCAUUUCGGUUCCAUGAUGAGAGAGCACACACUACCAUGUACACAACCACAACUUUAAUCACACGAUCCCUAGUAGGGAAGAAAGUAAGCUAGUUAUUGGCUGUAAGCCAUAUGCAUUGCGACAAUUGGCGCUAAUGUCGUACCGAUAUGUAUAUUUCCCCUGGGAAACUUAUGACGACAUGUGAGAGGAGGGGACAUAAUAAUAAUUCUGUCAAAUGUUAUAUCGAAAAUUAUUUACAUGAGUUUAGUGAUAUAGUGACCAGAAAAUUUGAACGUUAGAUAGAGGAUAACGUUAGAUCGAAAAACGUUAGACUGAAACAUUUUAAUGUUAUUUUCCCCUAUUUUUUGCCGGGACCGGAGAAAAAGAAUGUUAGAUCGAGGAAAACGUUAGAUCGACGAAUGUUAGAUCGAAGUUUUACUGUACUUGCAAAGUGAUUUUGUUUAUCAUAGCUUUACAUGUUGUUCUAUUG
RNAcentral lists this long non-coding RNA (713 nucleotides) under Androctonus crassicauda. Lineage: Eukaryota; Metazoa; Arthropoda; Arachnida; Scorpiones; Buthidae. The record is from RNAcentral.